AUGCUUGCUUCGGCAGCACAUAUAACUAAAGUUGGAAUUACACAGAGUAUUAGCAUGGCCCCUGCCCCAGGAUGGCGUGCAAAUACAAAGUUUGAUCUCUUUUC
Suricata suricatta (meerkat) is the source of this 104-nucleotide small nuclear RNA. Lineage: Eukaryota; Metazoa; Chordata; Mammalia; Carnivora; Herpestidae. The record is from Ensembl.